Molecule: non-coding RNA, 20 nt
Filed under: Arabidopsis thaliana (thale cress)
Lineage: Eukaryota; Viridiplantae; Streptophyta; Magnoliopsida; Brassicales; Brassicaceae
Also listed under: 2 other names
Source: RNAcentral
CAGGAGUGGAGCCUGCGGCU